GUGGGGAAUUUUGGACAAUGGGCGAAAGCCUGAUCCAGCAAUGCCGCGUGCAGGAAGAAGGCCUUCGGGUUGUAAACUGCUUUUGUACGGAACGAAACGGUCCUGGCUAAUAUCCGGGGCUAAUGACGGUACCGUAAGAAUAAGCACCGGCUAACUACGUGCCAGCAGCCGCGGUAAUACGUAGGGUGCGAGCGUUAAUCGGAAUUACUGGGCGUAAAGCGUGCGCAGGCGGUGCUGUAAGACAGGCGUGAAAUCCCCGGGCUCAACCUGGGAAUUGCGCUUGUGACUGCAGUGCUGGAGUGCGGCAGAGGGGGAUGGAAUUCCGCGUGUAGCAGUGAAAUGCGUAGAUAUGCGGAGGAACACCGAUGGCGAAGGCAAUCCCCUGGGCCUGCACUGACGCUCAUGCACGAAAGCGUGGGGAGCAAACAGGAUUAGAAACCCGUGUAGUCC
Molecule: ribosomal RNA, 450 nt
Filed under: uncultured bacterium
Lineage: Bacteria
Description: partial 16S ribosomal RNA
Rfam family: Bacterial small subunit ribosomal RNA
Source: RNAcentral